Molecule: small RNA, 780 nt
Filed under: Pan troglodytes (chimpanzee)
Lineage: Eukaryota; Metazoa; Chordata; Mammalia; Primates; Hominidae
Description: retained intron
Source: RNAcentral
ACCUGAAGUCAAGCUCCCCCACCAUUCGGCGGACAGCGGCUGGAUCAGCAGUGAGCAUCUGCCAGCACUCAAGAAGGACACAAUAUUUCUAUAGUUGGCUACUAAAUGUGCUCUUAGGCUUACUCAUUCCUGUCGAGGAUGAACACUCCACUCUGCUGAUUCUUGGCGUGCUGCUCACCCUGAGGUAUUUGGUGCCCUUGCUGCAGCAGCAGGUCAAGGACACAAGCCUGAAAGGCAGCUUCGGAGUGACACGGAAAGAAAUGGAAGUCUCUCCUUCUGCAGAGCAGCUUGUCCAGGUUUAUGAACUGACGUUACAUCAUACACAGCACCAAGACCACAAUGUUGUGACCGGAGCCCUGGAGCUGUUGCAGCAGCUCUUCAGAACGCCUCCGCCCGAGCUUCUGCAAACCCUGACCGCAGUCGGGGGCAUUGGGCAGCUCACCGCUGCUAAGGAGGAGUCUGGUGGCCGAAGCCGUAGUGGAAGUAUUGUGGAACUUAUAGGCAAGUUACUAGCAAGGUCUACUCUUACAAUCAACUUUGCAGUAAUAUAGUUGCACUCUAUUGAUUAUGGGCCUGCCCUGUGCUAAGCAGUCUGCAUUCCAUCUUCCUUGCCAAAACUUAUAAUACAAAUUUCAUCUUUAUUUUAUAAAUAGGGGAGUUGGGCUGGGUGUGGUGGCUCACGCCUGUAAUUUCAGCACUUUGGAAGGAUCGCUUCAGCCCAGGAGUUUGAGACAGCCUGGCCAAGUGAGACCCUGUCUCUACAAAAAAAAAAAAAAAAAA